GACGAACGCUGGCGGCGUGCCUAAUACAUGCAAGUCGAACGCUGAAGCUUGGUGCUUGCACCGAGCGCAUGAGUUGCGAACGGGUGAGUAACGCGUAGGUAACCUGCCUGGUAGCGGGGGAUAACUACUGGAAACGAUAGCUAAUACCGCAUAAGAGUAGAUGUUGCAUGACUUUUGCUUAAAAGGUGCAAUUGCAUCACUACCUGGUGGACUUGGUGUGUAUUAGCUAGUUGGUAAGGUAACGGCUCACCAAGGCAACGAUCCGUAGCCGACCUGAGAGGUUGAUCGGCCACACUGGAAUGGGGCACCGGCCAAGACUCUUACGGGAGGCACCAGUGGGGAACUUGCGGCAAUGGGGGAAAUCCUGACGAAGAAAGGCGGCGUGGGGGAGGAAGGUUUUCGGACCGUAAGCUCGGUUUUUAGGGGAGAAAGAGUUUUGUAGUGGAAAGUGCACGCUUUGACGGUACCUAACCAGAAAGCGACGGCUAACUACGUG
Molecule: ribosomal RNA, 496 nt
Filed under: uncultured bacterium
Lineage: Bacteria
Description: partial 16S ribosomal RNA
Rfam family: Bacterial small subunit ribosomal RNA
Source: RNAcentral